CACGUAGGGCGCGAACGUUAUCCGGAAUUAUUGGGCGUAAAGGGUGCGUAGGCGGCGCGGAUAGUCGGCGGUGAAAGCCCGGAGCUCAACUCCGGGUCGGCCGUCGAUACUUCCGGGCUUGAGCACUGUAGAGGCAGAUGGAAUUCCGGGUGUAGCGGUGGAAUGCGUAGAGAUCCGGAAGAACACCGGUGGCGAAGGCGGUCUGCUGGGCAGUUGCUGACGCUGAGGCACGAAGGCCAGGGGAGCAAACGGG
RNAcentral lists this ribosomal RNA (253 nucleotides) under uncultured bacterium. Its description in RNAcentral is "partial 16S ribosomal RNA". It matches the Rfam family "Bacterial small subunit ribosomal RNA", at positions 524 to 776 of the family's 1533-position model. The record is from RNAcentral.